This 497-nucleotide ribosomal RNA is filed under the name uncultured bacterium. RNAcentral describes it as "partial 16S ribosomal RNA". It matches the Rfam family "Bacterial small subunit ribosomal RNA", at positions 28 to 507 of the family's 1533-position model. The record is from RNAcentral.
GAUGAACGCUGGCGGCGUGCCUAAUACAUGCCAGUCGAGCGAACAGACGAGGAGCUUGCUCCUCUGACGUUAGCGGCGGACGGGUGAGUAACACGUGGAUAACCUACCUAUAAGACUGGGAUAACUUCGGGAAACCGGAGCUAAUACCGGAUAAUAUAUUGAACCGCAUGGUUCAAUAGUGAAAGACGGUUUUGCUGUCACUUAUGGAUGGAUCCGCGCCGCAUUAGCUAGUUGGUAAGGUAACGGCUUACCAAGGCGACGAUGCGUAGCCGACCUGAGAGGGUGAUCGGCCACACUGGAACUGAGACACGGUCCAGACUCCUACGGGAGGCAGCAGUAGGGAAUCUUCCGCAAUGGGCGAAAGCCUGACGGAGCAACGCCGCGUGAGUGAUGAAGGUCUUCGGAUCGUAAAACUCUGUUAUUAGGGAAGAACAAAUGUGUAAGUAACUAUGCACGUCUUGACGGUACCUAAUCAGAAAGCCACGGCUAACUACGUG